This 402-nucleotide long non-coding RNA is filed under the name Homo sapiens (human). RNAcentral's name for it is "LHRI_LNC766.1". The record is from RNAcentral. Lineage: Eukaryota; Metazoa; Chordata; Mammalia; Primates; Hominidae.
GCGCCUGCCCUGCAGCAGCGCAGGGCGUGACGCUUCACGUGGCCGGGCUCAGGUCGUAGCACCGCGGACCGCGAGCCUCUCUGCGUUGACCCAGGGACUGAGACCCCGGGGACGUGGCGUGCCAGCCCGGAUCGGCCCUCUCCCUGCCUGUUGGGAAGUUCGGCGGCGCUGUUCGCGGUCUGCACCCAGGGCAGGAGGGAUGAGAGAGACAAGAAAAAAAAACCGCCUGUUACAGGGAAAUCUUAGCAAUCAUGCGGUCGACACGUAUUUCUUGAGCCCCCUGCUCUGCACUAGGCGCUGCACUAGUUGAUGAAUCCGACACGGAUCCUGCCCUUGAACUUGCAGAACCUCUAGGAAGAGGUUAAAUUGAGCAAUAAAGGAAAGGCAGCCCUGGGAAAAUUG